RNAcentral lists this ribosomal RNA (492 nucleotides) under uncultured bacterium. Its description in RNAcentral is "bacterial SSU rRNA". It matches the Rfam family "Bacterial small subunit ribosomal RNA", at positions 28 to 507 of the family's 1533-position model. The record is from RNAcentral.
GAUGAACGCUAGCUACAGGCUUAACACAUGCAAGUCGAGGGGAAACGACAUCGAAAGCUUGCUUUUGAUGGGCGUCGACCGGCGCACGGGUGAGUAACGCGUAUCCAACCUGCCCGCCACUUGGGGAUAACCUUGCGAAAGUAAGACUAAUACCCAAUGAUAUCCCACGAAGGCAUCCGAAUGGGAUUAAAGAUUUAUCGGUGAUGGAUGGGGAUGCGUCUGAUUAGCUUGUUGGCGGGGUAACGGCCCACCAAGGCUACGAUCAGUAGGGGUUCUGAGAGGAAGGUCCCCCACAUUGGAACUGAGACACGGUCCAAACUCCUACGGGAGGCAGCAGUGAGGAAUAUUGGUCAAUGGGCGAGAGCCUGAACCAGCCAAGUAGCGUGCAGGAUGACGGCCCUAUGGGUUGUAAACUGCUUUUAUACGGGAAUAAAGUGGGCCACGCGUGGUCUUUUGCAUGUACCGUAUGAAUAAGGACCGGCUAAUUCCGUG